ACGGGUGAGUAACGCGUAAGGGACUUGCCCUGCAGUCAGGGAUAACAGACGGAAACGACUGAUAAAACCUGAUAAAGUCAGGCGGAUUCAUGUCCAGCCUGAUGAAAAGGAAUGCUGCAGGAGAGCCUUGCGUCCUAUUAGCUUGUUGGUGGGGUAACGGCCCACCAAGGCGAUGAUAGGUAGCCGGCCUGAGAGGGUGGACGGCCACAAGGGGACUGAGAUACGGCCCUUACUCCUACGGGAGGCAGCAGUGGGGAAUAUUGGACAAUGGGGGCGACCCUGAUCCAGCAAUUCUGUGUGCACGAUGAAGGUCUUCGGAUUGUAAAGUGCUUUCAGCAGGGAAGAAAAAAAUGACGGUACCUGCAGAAGAAGCGACGGCUAAAUACGUGCCAGCAGCCGCGGUAAUACGUAUGUCGCGAGCGUUAUCCGGAAUUAUUGGGCAUAAAGGGCAUCUAGGCGGCCGGAUAAGUCUGGGGUGAAAACUUGCGGCUCAACCGCAAGCCUGCCCUGGAAACUAUGCGGCUAGAGUACUGGAGAGGUGGACGGAACUGCACGAGUAGAGGUGAAAUUCGUAGAUAUGUGCAGGAAUGCCGAUGAUGAAGAUAGUUCACUGGACGGUAACUGACGCUGAAGUGCGAAAGCUAGGGGAGCAAACAGGAUUAGAUACCCU
Molecule: ribosomal RNA, 670 nt
Filed under: uncultured bacterium
Lineage: Bacteria
Description: bacterial SSU rRNA
Rfam family: Bacterial small subunit ribosomal RNA
Source: RNAcentral